This 1550-nucleotide ribosomal RNA is filed under the name Enterobacter sp. RHBSTW-00901. RNAcentral's name for it is "bacterial SSU rRNA". It matches the Rfam family "Bacterial small subunit ribosomal RNA". The record is from RNAcentral. Lineage: Bacteria; Pseudomonadati; Pseudomonadota; Gammaproteobacteria; Enterobacterales; Enterobacteriaceae.
AAAUUGAAGAGUUUGAUCAUGGCUCAGAUUGAACGCUGGCGGCAGGCCUAACACAUGCAAGUCGGGCGGUAACACAGGGAGCUUGCUCCCGGGUGACGAGCGGCGGACGGGUGAGUAAUGUCUGGGAAACUGCCUGAUGGAGGGGGAUAACUACUGGAAACGGUAGCUAAUACCGCAUAACGUCGCAAGACCAAAGAGGGGGACCUUCGGGCCUCUUGCCAUCAGAUGUGCCCAGAUGGGAUUAGCUAGUAGGUGGGGUAACGGCUCACCUAGGCGACGAUCCCUAGCUGGUCUGAGAGGAUGACCAGCCACACUGGAACUGAGACACGGUCCAGACUCCUACGGGAGGCAGCAGUGGGGAAUAUUGCACAAUGGGCGCAAGCCUGAUGCAGCCAUGCCGCGUGUAUGAAGAAGGCCUUCGGGUUGUAAAGUACUUUCAGCGGGGAGGAAGGUGUUGUGGUUAAUAACCACAGCAAUUGACGUUACCCGCAGAAGAAGCACCGGCUAACUCCGUGCCAGCAGCCGCGGUAAUACGGAGGGUGCAAGCGUUAAUCGGAAUUACUGGGCGUAAAGCGCACGCAGGCGGUCUGUCAAGUCGGAUGUGAAAUCCCCGGGCUCAACCUGGGAACUGCAUUCGAAACUGGCAGGCUAGAGUCUUGUAGAGGGGGGUAGAAUUCCAGGUGUAGCGGUGAAAUGCGUAGAGAUCUGGAGGAAUACCGGUGGCGAAGGCGGCCCCCUGGACAAAGACUGACGCUCAGGUGCGAAAGCGUGGGGAGCAAACAGGAUUAGAUACCCUGGUAGUCCACGCCGUAAACGAUGUCGACUUGGAGGUUGUGCCCUUGAGGCGUGGCUUCCGGAGCUAACGCGUUAAGUCGACCGCCUGGGGAGUACGGCCGCAAGGUUAAAACUCAAAUGAAUUGACGGGGGCCCGCACAAGCGGUGGAGCAUGUGGUUUAAUUCGAUGCAACGCGAAGAACCUUACCUACUCUUGACAUCCAGAGAACUUAGCAGAGAUGCUUUGGUGCCUUCGGGAACUCUGAGACAGGUGCUGCAUGGCUGUCGUCAGCUCGUGUUGUGAAAUGUUGGGUUAAGUCCCGCAACGAGCGCAACCCUUAUCCUUUGUUGCCAGCGGUCCGGCCGGGAACUCAAAGGAGACUGCCAGUGAUAAACUGGAGGAAGGUGGGGAUGACGUCAAGUCAUCAUGGCCCUUACGAGUAGGGCUACACACGUGCUACAAUGGCGCAUACAAAGAGAAGCGACCUCGCGAGAGCAAGCGGACCUCAUAAAGUGCGUCGUAGUCCGGAUUGGAGUCUGCAACUCGACUCCAUGAAGUCGGAAUCGCUAGUAAUCGUAGAUCAGAAUGCUACGGUGAAUACGUUCCCGGGCCUUGUACACACCGCCCGUCACACCAUGGGAGUGGGUUGCAAAAGAAGUAGGUAGCUUAACCUUCGGGAGGGCGCUUACCACUUUGUGAUUCAUGACUGGGGUGAAGUCGUAACAAGGUAACCGUAGGGGAACCUGCGGUUGGAUCACCUCCUUACCUUAAAGAA